RNAcentral lists this unclassified non-coding RNA (251 nucleotides) under Penicillium aurantiogriseum. RNAcentral's name for it is "partial internal transcribed spacer region". The stretch from base 1 to 46 matches the Rfam family "Eukaryotic small subunit ribosomal RNA", at positions 1786 to 1831 of the family's 1831-position model. The record is from RNAcentral. RNAcentral also lists the same sequence under 1 other name. Lineage: Eukaryota; Fungi; Ascomycota; Eurotiomycetes; Eurotiales; Aspergillaceae.
AAGUCGUAACAAGGUUUCCGUAGGUGAACCUGCGGAAGGAUCAUUACCGAGUGAGGGCCCUUUGGGUCCAACCUCCCACCCGUGUUUAUUUUACCUUGUUGCUUCGGCGGGCCCGCCUUUACUGGCCGCCGGGGGGCUCACGCCCCCGGGCCCGCGCCCGCCGAAGACACCCUCGAACUCUGUCUGAAGAUUGAAGUCUGAGUGAAAAUAUAAAUUAUUUAAAACUUUCAACAACGGAUCUCUUGGUUCCG